CGUGGAUUUAUUAUGACUGGAUAUGACCCCUCCAAACGCUUGAAACAAAGUUAUGUUAGGAACGGGAGAGAACCCCGUCCUAACAUACCUAAAAUGAAAGUCUGACUACCUCGAAAUCGGAUUGGGGGAGAGGCCUUACAGCGCCCUAAUGUGCCCCUGCAGCCAUGUUAGGAACAGGAGGAGAACCUCAUCCUGACAUGAGCAAAGUCAAAGGUCCGAUUCUUUUAGACCGGAUGGGGGGAGAGGCCUUACAGCGCCC
Molecule: long non-coding RNA, 259 nt
Filed under: Elaeis guineensis (African oil palm)
Lineage: Eukaryota; Viridiplantae; Streptophyta; Magnoliopsida; Arecales; Arecaceae
Description: long non-coding RNA (EGUI_LNC062961)
Source: RNAcentral